GCACUUGGUUCAGUGGUGGAGAAUCUGACCAGCAUGCAGAAGGCCCCAGGUUCGAGCCCUGGCAUCUCCA
RNAcentral lists this transfer RNA (70 nucleotides) under Sphaerodactylus townsendi. Its description in RNAcentral is "tRNA-Ala". Lineage: Eukaryota; Metazoa; Chordata; Lepidosauria; Squamata; Sphaerodactylidae. The record is from RNAcentral.